CUACGUGCCAGCAGCCGCGGUAAUACGGAAGGUCCAGGCGUUAUCCGGAUUUAUUGGGUUUAAAGGGAGCGUAGGCUGGAGAUUAAGUGUGUUGUGAAAUGUAGACGCUCAACGUCUGAAUUGCAGCGCAUACUGGUUUCCUUGAGUACGCACAACGUUGGCGGAAUUCGUCGUGUAGCGGUGAAAUGCUUAGAUAUGACGAAGAACUCCGAUUGCGAAGGCAGCUGACGGGAGCGCAACUGACGCUGAAGCUCGAAGGUGCGGGUAUCGAACAGGAUUAGAUACCCUGGUAGUCCGCACAGUAAACGAUGGAUGCCCGCUGUUGGUACCUGGUAUCAGCGGCUAAGCGAAAGCAUUAAGCAUCCCACCUGGGGAGUACGCCGGCAACGGUGAAACUCAAAGGAAUUGACGGGGGCCCGCACAAGCGGUGGAGUAUGUGGUUUAAUUCGACGCAACGCGAAGAACCUUACCAGGUCUUGACAU
RNAcentral lists this ribosomal RNA (483 nucleotides) under uncultured bacterium. Its description in RNAcentral is "bacterial SSU rRNA". It matches the Rfam family "Bacterial small subunit ribosomal RNA", at positions 501 to 987 of the family's 1533-position model. The record is from RNAcentral.